Molecule: long non-coding RNA, 671 nt
Filed under: Macaca mulatta (Rhesus monkey)
Lineage: Eukaryota; Metazoa; Chordata; Mammalia; Primates; Cercopithecidae
Description: lncRNA (ENSMMUG00000064202.1)
Source: RNAcentral
UAACCACAUAGGACGAUACCAGCUGAAUAUCAACCCUAAACGAAGUUAAGCAAGAAUACAGAGGACUACUUGAGUAAAUUUCACUUGAGAGGCAUUGUCAAUGCUAUAGGAUGUCUCCAGGAAGAAAUAGCCCUAUUGGCUGGAGAGGAAGACUAAAGCUUAAACAGGGUUGCCGGAGAAGCCUUCUCUACUUUUGCACUCCAGGUGAAGAGGCUCUGCGAUCUGCUCCCAUGGGACAGGAGGAGCAACCUGUGGACAGCAAAGCUUUAAGUUCUUUCAAACACAAUUGUCUUGCCUCAGCUAUCAGUCUUGUCUACAAGGAAAUCUACUGGGAGAAGUGAGCGCUGAGCCCUCGGGUUGCUUGAUGUUCCAAGGCAUGCUGACUUUCUGCUGCGAUUUGUCAUCCUCGGACACAGAGAGAACUCAGAAACCAGGAGAAAGGUGACAAAGAUGCAGCGGGAAUAUCAAGGCAAUUAAGGGAGAGGAUCCAUGAAAUAAUCCAUCACCUCCUCCCACCCCAAUUUGUCAAUCAAUUUCGGGGUAACUUUUUCUGAGCUCCUCUACAUUAAAGAUAAAUGGAUGAAGAUGGUCUGGGAUUGGUUAGAGACCUUAGAGGAAGCCACAGAGAUACUAGAAAAUCUAAAGCAAAAAUUCACAAAAUAAAACCUCUC